CCUAGGGCGGCUGCAGUGAGGAAUAUUGGUCAAUGGACGAGAGUCUGAACCAGCCAAGUAGCAUGAAGGUCUUCGGAUUGUAAAGUUCUGUGAUGGGGGAUGAACACAAUGACGGUACCCCAAUAGCAAGCCACGGCUAACUACGUGCCAGCAGCCGCGGUAAUACGUAGGUGGCAAGCGUUAUCCGGAAUGACUGGGCGUAAAGGGUGCGUAGGUGGUUUAGUAAGUUGGCGGUGUAAUUCCGGGGCUCAACCUCGGCGCUACCGCCAAAACUAUUAGACUAGAGUGCAGGAGGGGUAAGUGGAAUUCCUAGUGUAGCGGUGGAAUGCGUAGAUAUUAGGAGGAACAUCAGGGGCGAAGGCGACUUACUGGACUGUAACUGACACUGAGGCACGAAAGCGUGGGGAGCAAACAGGAUUAGAUACCCUAGUAGUC
This 435-nucleotide ribosomal RNA is filed under the name uncultured bacterium. Its description in RNAcentral is "partial 16S ribosomal RNA". It matches the Rfam family "Bacterial small subunit ribosomal RNA", at positions 338 to 795 of the family's 1533-position model. The record is from RNAcentral.